AAAUGAAGAUGACGCAAGCGGCCUUCCAGCAAAGCGCAGCCUUGCGGCAGGUCUGGGUAGGACUGCAGCCUGUGACGUGGCACCCAAGAGAGGUACAGAGGCACAACAGGCAUCAGGGUUUGAUUCAAUGUCUUUCUAGUUAGGCUUUCUGUCCUUUCUUUCUUCAUACUCCUUUUGCUGCGUGUUGCUUGAGGUCUUCGUCCCUGGGAUUUACAAUUACCUUCCCUGUCCAGAUUUGAAAUGCAAACCCACACUUCAGCUAAGAUCCUAAGAUC
Molecule: long non-coding RNA, 275 nt
Filed under: Coturnix japonica (Japanese quail)
Lineage: Eukaryota; Metazoa; Chordata; Aves; Galliformes; Phasianidae
Description: lncRNA (ENSCJPG00005011096.1)
Source: RNAcentral